GCCGGGCAUGGUACUGCAUGCCUGUAGUCCCAGCUACCUGGGAGACUAAAGCAGGAAAAUUGCUUGAGUCCAGGAGUUUGAGGCCACAGUGAACUAUGAACAUGCCACUGCACUCUAGCCUGGGCAACAGGCAAUAGAGUGAGACCCUAUCUCAAAAAAAAAAAAAAAAAAAGGUUCACCAUCAAUAUGUUGACCUCCCAGGAGCAGGAGACCACUAGGUUGCCUAAGGAGAGGUGAAUCGGCCCAAGUCAGAAAAAGAGCAGGCCAAAAAUCCCAUACUGAUGUGUGUAGUGGGCUAACACUUGUGAAGCCACUGUGCUCCACCCUGGGCAAUAUAACAAGACCUCAUUUCUU
Molecule: signal recognition particle RNA, 354 nt
Filed under: Papio anubis (olive baboon)
Lineage: Eukaryota; Metazoa; Chordata; Mammalia; Primates; Cercopithecidae
Description: Metazoan signal recognition particle RNA (ENSPANG00000002650.3)
Rfam family: Metazoan signal recognition particle RNA
About the family: The signal recognition particle (SRP) is a universally conserved ribonucleoprotein. It is involved in the co-translational targeting of proteins to membranes.
Source: Rfam by way of RNAcentral